Molecule: long non-coding RNA, 937 nt
Filed under: Fukomys damarensis (Damara mole-rat)
Lineage: Eukaryota; Metazoa; Chordata; Mammalia; Rodentia; Bathyergidae
Description: lncRNA (ENSFDAG00000024184.1)
Source: RNAcentral
CUCCUCCCAGCCGGGUUUGUGCCCGGCUGGGUUCCGCGGGCCUUCCGGGCUCUGCAGACCCCUGGAAGCCCAAAGGUGAUGCACCGUACAUAGUGGCCGAUCUGAGAGAAGAGCCCUCCCACUGCUUCCUUAUCGCCUCGCCCCAUUCCAUCUUGGUUCCUGGUCGGAGCCGGUAAGACCCGAGUCCGUAGAUGUUAGGUCCUGGCGGGGGCCAGGUUCAUUCCAGAAACUGAACUCCAGGAGCAGCCGAUUCUUCCGGGAGAAGCUUACGGAAAUGCGCAAUUCCCGACUUCCUCGGUUUACGCCUGACCUCCACGAGGGCGGGGCAGCCGCCUUCAGACCUGCACAGGUGCGCGGUUCGAUGCUGCUCGCCACACCACGUGCGCCAAGUUCCCGCCGAAGUGCAAGGCUUUAGUUUCAGAUCUUGGGAUGCCCUCCUGAAUUGCUAUGCCAGAGAUAUAAGGUAGUACUGUUUGGGGAGUAAUAUGUUUCAAAGUUCUUAAUGUCGACAACCCUGUUAUGUCCUCCUCUUACUGGUAAUCUUCAUUCCAUUACUGAGGUGGUGUUUCUUCCCCACACACCAUUUGACCAACCAUCGGACCAAGAAGUUAUAGAAGCUUUUAACAGGUUACCAUAUGAAGAUGAUUGCUUCAGUAGAGGACACUGAUGCAAUUCAGAAAGGAUUAACCUGUAAUUAUAUCAAAAACCUGGGUUGGGCUGGGAAUAGUCAUUAUGAAACUCUAAAGGUGGAUCCUAAGAAGCCAACUAAUAUUUCUGUUUUGGUUUUGUUUUGUUUGUUUUGAGACAGGGUCUCACUAUGCAGUUGAGACUGACCUGGAACUCACUAUGUAGCCCAGGCUAGUCUUGAACUCACUGGAUCCUCCUGCCUCAGCCUCCUGAGUGCUGGGAUUACAGGCGUGCGCCAUCACACCCGGCU